This 510-nucleotide ribosomal RNA is filed under the name uncultured bacterium. Its description in RNAcentral is "partial 16S ribosomal RNA". It matches the Rfam family "Bacterial small subunit ribosomal RNA", at positions 28 to 507 of the family's 1533-position model. The record is from RNAcentral.
GACGAACGCUGGCGGCGUGCUUAACACAUGCAAGUCGAACGAAGAGCGAUGGAAGCUUGCUUCUAUCAAUCUUAGUGGCGAACGGGUGAGUAACGCGUAAUCAACCUGCCCUUCAGAGGGGGACAACAGUUGGAAACGACUGCUAAUACCGCAUACGAUCUAAUCUCGGCAUCGAGGAUAGAUGAAAGGUGGCCUCUACAUGUAAGCUAUCACUGAAGGAGGGGAUUGCGUCUGAUUAGCUAGUUGGAGGGGUAACGGCCCACCAAGGCGAUGAUCAGUAGCCGGUCUGAGAGGAUGAACGGCCACAUUGGGACUGAGACACGGCCCAGACUCCUACGGGAGGCAGCAGUGGGGAAUCUUCCGCAAUGGACGAAAGUCUGACGGAGCAACGCCGCGUGAGCGAUGACGGCCUUCGGGUCGUAAAGCUCUGUUAAUCGGGACGAAAGGCCUUCUUGCGAAUAGUGAGAAGGAUUGACGGUACCGGAAUAGAAAGCCACGGCUAACUACGUG